Molecule: ribosomal RNA, 330 nt
Filed under: uncultured eukaryote
Lineage: Eukaryota
Description: partial 18S ribosomal RNA
Rfam family: Eukaryotic small subunit ribosomal RNA
Source: RNAcentral
CCCUUAGAUGUCCGGGGCUGCACGCGCGCUACACUGUAGAAAGCAGCGUGCUUUAAAACCUUUCCUGAAAAGGAUGGGUAACCCCAGCAAAAUUCUACGUGCUUGGGAUAGAGAUUUGCAAUUUUCUCUCUUGAACGAGGAAUUCCCAGUAAGUGCGAGUCAUCAGCUCGCGUUGAUUACGUCCCAGCCCUUUGUACACACCGCCCGUCGCUACUACCGAUUGGGAAAAUUUUAGAGAGUCCUGGACUGAUGAUUGUUCGGCUUCACGGCCUUACUUUCGUCGGGAAAGAAUUCGAUAAUAUUUUUCUAGAGGAAGUAAAAGUCGUAACA